ACCACACCAACCCAAGAAAUCAUUUCUAUAUUUAAAAAAGGUUCUCUGAAUAUGUAAUGUACCAGAAGUCAUGAGGAGGAAACACAGCUGUUUUCUGAACAUGAAGCUGUUUCUCGCCAUAGGUGAUAGUCCUUAUAUUUAUCUGGGAAUGUGAAAGAAAGAGAAUACAUUCUGAGUGG
Molecule: small nucleolar RNA, 179 nt
Filed under: Ochotona princeps (American pika)
Lineage: Eukaryota; Metazoa; Chordata; Mammalia; Lagomorpha; Ochotonidae
Description: Small nucleolar RNA U3 (ENSOPRG00000022627.1)
Rfam family: Small nucleolar RNA U3
About the family: Small nucleolar RNAs (snoRNAs) are involved in the processing and modification of rRNA in the nucleolus.
Source: RNAcentral